RNAcentral lists this ribosomal RNA (392 nucleotides) under uncultured bacterium. RNAcentral describes it as "bacterial SSU rRNA". It matches the Rfam family "Bacterial small subunit ribosomal RNA", at positions 132 to 518 of the family's 1533-position model. The record is from RNAcentral.
AUAACUCAGGGAUAGCCUUUCGAAAGAAAGAUUAAUACCUGAUAGUACUUUUUCAAGGCAUCUUAGAAAAAGUUAAAGAUUUAUUGGUUAUGAAUGGGGAUGCGUUCCAUUAGAUAGUUGGUGAGGUAACGGCUCACCAAAGUCUUCGAUGGAUAGGGGGUUCUGAGAGGAAGGUCCCCCACAUUGGUACUGAGACACGGACCAAACUCCUACGGGAGGCAGCAGUGAGGAAUAUUGGUCAAUGGGCGAGAGCCUGAACCAGCCAAGUAGCGUGAAGGAUGAAGGUCCUAUGGAUUGUAAACUUCUUUUAUAGUAGAAUAAAGUGAGCCACGUGUGGUUUUUUGUAUGUUAUACUAUGAAUAAGGAUCGGCUAACUCCGUGCCAGCAGCAGC